This is a non-coding RNA of Amylocarpus encephaloides, 93 nucleotides long. Lineage: Eukaryota; Fungi; Ascomycota; Leotiomycetes; Helotiales. The record is from the annotation of a GenBank genome assembly.
GCCCGGCUAGCUCAAUCGGUAGAGCGUGAGACUCUUACGAUUCUCAGGAGUCAAGGCAUCUCAAGGUUGCGGGUUCGACCCCCGCGUUGGGCU